GGGGAUGUAGCUCAGUAUAGAGUGACUGCCUAGCACGCACAAGGUCCUGGGUUCCAUGCCCAGUAUCAUUA
This 71-nucleotide transfer RNA is filed under the name Ictidomys tridecemlineatus (thirteen-lined ground squirrel). Its description in RNAcentral is "Spermophilus tridecemlineatus (thirteen-lined ground squirrel) tRNA". It matches the Rfam family "tRNA". From Rfam's summary of the family: Transfer RNA (tRNA) molecules are approximately 80 nucleotides in length. Their secondary structure includes four short double-helical elements and three loops (D, anti-codon, and T loops). Further hydrogen bonds mediate the characteristic L-shaped molecular structure. tRNAs have two regions of fundamental functional importance: the anti-codon, which is responsible for specific mRNA codon recognition, and the 3' end, to which the tRNAs corresponding amino acid is attached (by aminoacyl-tRNA synthetases). tRNAs cope with the degeneracy of the genetic code in two manners: having more than one tRNA (with a specific anti-codon) for a particular amino acid; and 'wobble' base-pairing, i.e. permitting non-standard base-pairing at the 3rd anti-codon position. Lineage: Eukaryota; Metazoa; Chordata; Mammalia; Rodentia; Sciuridae. The record is from Rfam by way of RNAcentral.